UAAAAUGAGAGUUUGAUCCUGGCUCAGGACGAACGCUGGCGGCGUGCCUAAUACAUGCAAGUCGAACGAAACUUUCUUACACCGAAUGCUUGCAUUCACCGUAAGAAGUUGAGUGGCGGACGGGUGAGUAACACGUGGGUAACCUGCCUAAAAGAAGGGGAUAACACUUGGAAACAGGUGCUAAUACCGUAUAUCUCUAAGGAUCGCAUGAUCCUUAGAUGAAAGAUGGUUCUGCUAUCGCUUUUAGAUGGACCCGCGGCGUAUUAACUAGUUGGUGGGGUAACGGCCUACCAAGGUGAUGAUACGUAGCCGAACUGAGAGGUUGAUCGGCCACAUUGGGACUGAGACACGGCCCAAACUCCUACGGGAGGCAGCAGUAGGGAAUCUUCCACAAUGGACGCAAGUCUGAUGGAGCAACGCCGCGUGAGUGAAGAAGGUCUUCGGAUCGUAAAACUCUGUUGUUAGAGAAGAACACGAGUGAGAGUAACUGUUCAUUCGAUGACGGUAUCUAACCAGCAAGUCACGGCUAACUACGUGCCAGCAGCCGCGGUAAUACGUAGGUGGCAAGCGUUGUCCGGAUUUAUUGGGCGUAAAGGGAACGCAGGCGGUCUUUUAAGUCUGAUGUGAAAGCCUUCGGCUUAACCGGAGUAGUGCAUUGGAAACUGGAAGACUUGAGUGCAGAAGAGGAGAGUGGAACUCCAUGUGUAGCGGUGAAAUGCGUAGAUAUAUGGAAGAACACCAGUGGCGAAAGCGGCUCUCUGGUCUGUAACUGACGCUGAGGUUCGAAAGCGUGGGUAGCAAACAGGAUUAGAUACCCUGGUAGUCCACGCCGUAAACGAUGAAUGCUAGGUGUUGGAGGGUUUCCGCCCUUCAGUGCCGCAGCUAACGCAAUAAGCAUUCCGCCUGGGGAGUACGACCGCAAGGUUGAAACUCAAAGGAAUUGACGGGGGCCCGCACAAGCGGUGGAGCAUGUGGUUUAAUUCGAAGCAACGCGAAGAACCUUACCAGGUCUUGACAUCCUUUGACCACCUAAGAGAUUAGGUUUUCCCUUUGGGGACAAAGUGACAGGUGGUGCAUGGCUGUCGUCAGCUCGUGUCGUGAGAUGUUGGGUUAAGUCCCGCAACGAGCGCAACCCUUGUUGUCAGUUGCCAGCAUUAAGUUGGGCACUCUGGCGAGACUGCCGGUGACAAACCGGAGGAAGGUGGGGACGACGUCAAGUCAUCAUGCCCCUUAUGACCUGGGCUACACACGUGCUACAAUGGACGGUACAACGAGUCGCGAGACCGCGAGGUUUAGCUAAUCUCUUAAAGCCGUUCUCAGUUCGGAUUGUAGGCUGCAACUCGCCUACAUGAAGUCGGAAUCGCUAGUAAUCGCGAAUCAGCAUGUCGCGGUGAAUACGUUCCCGGGCCUUGUACACACCGCCCGUCACACCAUGAGAGUUUGUAACACCCAAAGCCGGUGGGGUAACCGCAAGGAGCCAGCCGUCUAAGGUGGGACAGAUGAUUGGGGUGAAGUCGUAACAAGGUAGCCGUAGGAGAACCUGCGGCUGGAUCACCUCCUUUCUAAGGAA
Molecule: ribosomal RNA, 1570 nt
Filed under: Ligilactobacillus salivarius
Lineage: Bacteria; Bacillati; Bacillota; Bacilli; Lactobacillales; Lactobacillaceae
Description: bacterial SSU rRNA
Rfam family: Bacterial small subunit ribosomal RNA
Source: RNAcentral